GACGAACGCUGGCGGCGUGCUUAACACAUGCAAGUCGAACGGAAAGGCCCUGCUUUUGUGGGGUGCUCGAGUGGCGAACGGGUGAGUAACACGUGAGUAACCUGCCCUUGACUUUGGGAUAACUUCAGGAAACUGGGGCUAAUACCGGAUAGGAGCUCCUGCUGCAUGGUGGGGGUUGGAAAGUUUCGGCGGUUGGGGAUGGACUCGCGGCUUAUCAGCUUGUUGGUGGGGUAGUGGCUUACCAAGGCUUUGACGAGUAGCCGGCCUGAGAGGGUGACCGGCCACGUAGGGGCUGCGAGAGAGCCCAGGAUCAUAUGGGAGGCAAAUAUGAGGACUAUUGUAACAAGGAAGGAAGCCUGAAGCAGCAAGGCCACGUGCGAGAUGACGGCCUUCAGGUUGAAAAUCGCUCACACCUGUGACGAAGCGAGAGUGCCGAUGAUGGGUAAAGAAACACCGGCUACCUACGUG
This 468-nucleotide ribosomal RNA is filed under the name uncultured bacterium. RNAcentral describes it as "partial 16S ribosomal RNA". It matches the Rfam family "Bacterial small subunit ribosomal RNA", at positions 28 to 507 of the family's 1533-position model. The record is from RNAcentral.